GUGCUCACUUCGGCAGUACAUAUACUAAAAUUGAAACGAGACAGAAAAAAUUAGCAUGGCCCCUGCACAGGAUGAUGUUUUAAAAAAUGUUU
This 92-nucleotide small nuclear RNA is filed under the name Aotus nancymaae (Ma's night monkey). Lineage: Eukaryota; Metazoa; Chordata; Mammalia; Primates; Aotidae. The record is from RNAcentral.